Molecule: long non-coding RNA, 732 nt
Filed under: Homo sapiens (human)
Lineage: Eukaryota; Metazoa; Chordata; Mammalia; Primates; Hominidae
Description: HSALNT0103356
Source: RNAcentral
CUCAACUUGUGAGGGAUUCACCUAUAUUACCUCUGCACCUGUAAUAAGACUAAGAAGACGGUGGCUGCACAUGUAGUUAACACCGAUUGUACCGCGACUUCGCCUUUCCGCAGCCUUUGUACCAACCUGCAGAGCCCUUUUGAGCCAAGAGCUGGACUUGGGGAGUAAAGAAGCUCAUUGUAAACGCCAGGAGGAAUUUCUUCAGGGUGAAGUUGACUUCCAAUCGGCUUCAUUCUAAAGGAAACAUGUGGAGCAAACAAACGGGAACUUUCUUUCUCAUCUUCUGCAUUUCAAGCCUAAUAAAAUUAGACGUUUCCACUGUCCUGCUCAGUCUCGAAGCUGUCGGCAGAUUCCGCUUUUAACUCUCAACACAGACACUCAGGAAAUCGGGAAAUCCCUGCAGCUCCCUCAGAAGCUAUCAGUAUCAGCGGUUCCCGAACCCGCAAACAAAAAACGCAACAUCACGUGCUCCUCCAAAGAGCCUAGCCUGUCUAUCGAGCGAUGGAAAGAGCGGCGAGGCGCUCUCGCAGCCGUGGCAGUCUGGACGAAAAGAACCAGGUCCCUUUCCUGGUCUAGCCUACCUCCCUACCUCUCUUCCCUCAUAUCCAGAAGAAGCGACGGAGAGUCACUGUAAUAUUGCCUGGGAACUUCUGGUAACAGCAAACAGAGGCCCAUAAGAAAAAACCAGGGAAAGGUUUUCUGUCACAAUGGAAAAUACAUGCAGAGUAAAAG